Molecule: ribosomal RNA, 508 nt
Filed under: uncultured fungus
Lineage: Eukaryota; Fungi
Description: SSU rRNA
Rfam family: Eukaryotic small subunit ribosomal RNA
Source: RNAcentral
AGCAGCCGCGGUAAUUCCAGCUCCAAUAGUGUAUAUUAAAGUUGUUGCAGUUAAAAAGCUCGUAGUUGAAUUUCGGGGUCAGCAGGUUGGUCGUGCCUCUGGUAUGCACUGGUUUCGCUGAUUCCUCCUUUCUGAAGAACUGUAAUGUCAUUAAUUUGGUGUUGCAGGGAAACAGGACUGUUACUUUGAAAAAAUUAGAGUGUUUAAAGCAGGCUAACGCUUGAAUACAUUAGCAUGGAAUAAUGAAAUAGGACGUUUGAUCCUAUUUUGUUGGUUUCUAGGAUUGACGUAAUGAUUAAUAGGGAUAGUUGGGGGCAUUAGUAUUCAAUUGUCAGAGGUGAAAUUCUUGGAUUUAUUGAAGACUAACUACUGCGAAAGCAUUUGCCAAGGAUGUUUUCAUUAAUCAAGAACGAAAGUUAGGGGAUCGAAGACGAUCAGAUACCGUCGUAGUCUUAACCAUAAACUAUGCCGACUAGGGAUCGGAUGAUGUUAAUUUUUUAAUGACUCA